CUCGUAGGCGGUUCGUCGCGUCCGGUGUGAAAGUCCAUCGCUUAACGGUGGAUCCGCGCCGGGUACGGGCGGGCUUGAGUGCGGUAGGGGAGACUGGAAUUCCCGGUGUAACGGUGGAAUGUGUAGAUAUCGGGAAGAACACCAAUGGCGAAGGCAGGUCUCUGGGCCGUUACUGACGCUGAGGAGCGGAAGCGUGGGGAGCGAACA
RNAcentral lists this ribosomal RNA (207 nucleotides) under uncultured bacterium. RNAcentral's name for it is "partial 16S ribosomal RNA". It matches the Rfam family "Bacterial small subunit ribosomal RNA", at positions 568 to 774 of the family's 1533-position model. The record is from RNAcentral.